CUGAGAUGGGCAUGGUGAUAAAGGUAAAGUCAGUUGAUAUGCUAUGGAUAUGUACAGGUACGUACAUUAUACUCAUAAGUGAUGCCUCAUUGAAAUGUGAUAAAUGAUGAGUAAGCGAAUUCAUGCAUAUGUAUGUGUAUACAUGAUAAACAAGUAAAAACGUUUGAAAGAUGAACGAUCAUUAUGCUUAUGAUUACGAAAUAUGUUGUAAUAUCAUGUUAACUUACAUUGUGUAAUGAGAUAUGGGUUUCAUGAAAUGAUGAGUCCAUGAUUAAUGAGCUUAUGAUAGUUAUUAUGAAUUUGCACUAAAAC
Molecule: long non-coding RNA, 312 nt
Filed under: Gossypium barbadense (sea-island cotton)
Lineage: Eukaryota; Viridiplantae; Streptophyta; Magnoliopsida; Malvales; Malvaceae
Description: long non-coding RNA (GBAR_LNC007197)
Source: RNAcentral